Molecule: long non-coding RNA, 1919 nt
Filed under: Dromaius novaehollandiae (emu)
Lineage: Eukaryota; Metazoa; Chordata; Aves; Casuariiformes; Dromaiidae
Description: lncRNA (ENSDNVG00000013048.1)
Source: RNAcentral
AUGUUGCCCACCACUGCAGGUCUUCAUCCCACCAGCUGAGCUGACAGACGUGCAGCUUUUCUUUUUUCAAGAGGAAAGGAAGAGCUGGAUGGCCACAUGUGGGUCUGUGUACCAGAUCACAGUUACUUAUGAAGACAGAGKUGGAAAGGAAUCAAAAACCCAGCGUAGAAACUUGCAAGACCCAUAAAACCAAGAUCGUGCAGGCAAUGCUUUUUCAGCAAAAUCCCUACAGUUGUGAUCUCAUGACGGAGCAGUUGCCCUGUGAGYGAUGUGCAAACAUCUAAAUGGGAAGCAAGAGGGGCUGGAGUCCAGGAGAGCGAGCAGGCGCAAACAGCAGGACCUGGCCUUGGGGCACAGACAGCAAGGAGAGCAGUCACCAGUGAAGACGCAUGGAAAAGGGGAUAGGACCUCAUUGAAUGCAACACCCCCCAUCUCCAAAUCAUCAUCAGGAUCAAUUAACUUAUAUCCAGCUGCUGUGACCAGAAUUAUCAGGAAAUCCUGGGUGUCGAGAAAUGAAGUCUUGUAUUUUGAUGAGAUCACGGGGSACUGGCUGGCAGCCAGGCACAAGGCUCUCCGUGCAACUCGUCUGCACCGCCUAACUCGGCCCUGUGCUUCCUCUGGGGGAUUUCUCUUGCAUGUAUUUCUGUGCGCUGCAAAAAGAGGGUUAGGUUUUUCUUCUGCCCAGUAUUUUAGUUUGUACCACACUCCGGAAAAGCCAGUAACUUCUCUGCAAGACCUAUCGCAGUCUCUGAAUAUAAAUCYGUCUUUGUUGGGGUGUGUGUGUGAUUUGACUGAGCCGCAUGAUCAGAGUCAGGUGACAACGUUGGGCACAAAAACGGAGUGGAAUAAGCAGUGAGACCCAGGAGAUUAGCCGCUGAUCUUGCCUUUUGACAAGCUGUGCUGCUCCUCAGGGAAAAAUGAGUGCCUGGCCCCCUCUCCUGCGUUGGAGCUUAACCGCGGCGUGGCUGACAGGUAUCGCUUUAGGCCAGACAAGCACUACGCAGGUCCCUAUUGCCGUGACACCAGUGCCUCCCAGUGCAAUGGCCGCCCAGGUCCCUGUUGCCUCAACACCAGUGCCUCCCAGCACAACUGCUGCCUCGGCCUCUGCACCCCCAGUUUCUGCUGCGACGCUCUUGGCCGGAGCAGCAUCCACCACGCCAAACCUUGCCGCGUCCACGGGAGCACCGUCUGCUGACCCAGGCGUGGGAACGUCAGCUCCGGUUCUGUCCACCACCCCAGAGGCCACAGCGGUCGCUUCCAGAAGCGCGACCACCUCCCGCGCGCCCACCGCAGCGCCUGCCACCGCCCUGUCCUCCCCGCCGGCUGCGACGGCCUCUCCCGGCGUCCCCUCGGCAGCUCCGGUCCUCACCACCUCGGAGCCCUCGGGCUGCGGCAGGGUGAACGUGACAGCGUGCCAACRUUGUUCCCCAGGGACGUUUCCCGACGACGGCACCCCGAGCUGCUCGUGCUGCCCGCAGGGCUCCUGCGCGGGCCCCGCCGAGUGCGUCCCCUGCCCGGCGGGUCACUACCAGCCCCUGAGCGGCCAGCGGUCGUGUCUGCCCUGUCCGCAGGGGUAUUACGCCAGUUUUCGGAGGAGCACCACGUGCUCUCCCUGUCCGCCUGGCUCCUACGCCAACGAGUCCGGGGCUGCAGCCUGCAGCGCGUGCCAGAAAGGUAGGCUUGGAUUUGCGUCCAGUCCAAAUGCAUUUUCAUCAAAAUCAACGAUGCUUUUACCAUAGCCAGAUGCAAUUACCAGGUGACUUAAAAGCGCUGAAGAGUAAACAGGUUAUUUUGUUCAGGCCAAAAAUAGAAUAGUAGAUCUCUUCCCGUUCUGUUAUUGACGUUUUUAUUAAAAAGGAAAGAACUGCUCUCGCACCAAGUCAUGUUCCCAUUUGCAAUAAACUAGUACUAAUGGUACA